UGAGGAAUAUUGGUCAAUGGCCGGGAGGCUGAACCAGCCAAGCCGCGUGAAGGAAGACGGCCCUACGGGUUGUAAACUUCUUUUGUCGGGGAACAAAAGGGAGGACGUGUCCUCCUCUGCGGGUACCCGAAGAAAAAGCAUCGGCUAACUCCGUGCCAGCAGCCGCGGUAAUACGGAGGAUGCGAGCGUUAUCCGGAUUUAUUGGGUUUAAAGGGUGCGUAGGCGGUCUGUUAAGUCAGCGGUAAAAGACCGGGGCUCAACCCCGGCAAGCCGUUGAAAACUGGCGGACUAGAGACGGAGAGAAGUAAGCGGAAUGCGCAGUGUAGCGGUGAAAUGCAUAGAUAUUGCGCAGAACUCCGAUUGCGAAGGCAGCUUACCGGCUCCGGACUGACGCUGAGGCACGAAAGCGUGGGGAUCAAACAGGAUUAGAUACCC
RNAcentral lists this ribosomal RNA (435 nucleotides) under uncultured bacterium. RNAcentral describes it as "bacterial SSU rRNA". It matches the Rfam family "Bacterial small subunit ribosomal RNA", at positions 355 to 787 of the family's 1533-position model. The record is from RNAcentral.